AUUGAACGCUGGCGGCAGGCCUAACACAUGCAAGUCGAACGGUAGCACAGAGAGCUUGCUCUCGGGUGACGAGUGGCGGACGGGUGAGUAACGUCUGGGAAACUGCCCGAUGGAGGGGGAUAACUACUGGAAACGGUAGCUAAUACCGCAUAACGUCGCAAGACCAAAGUGGGGGACCUUCGGGCCUCACACCAUCGGAUGUGCCCAGAUGGGAUUAGCUAGUAGGUGGGGUAAUGGCUCACCUAGGCGACGAUCCCUAGCUGGUCUGAGAGGAUGACCAGCCACACGGGAGCUGAGACACGGUCCAGACUCCUACGGGAGGCAGCAGUGGGGAAUAUUGCACAAUGGGCGCAAGCCUGAUGCAGCCAUGCCGCGUGUAUGAAGAAGGCCUUCGGGUUGUAAAGUACUUUCAGCGGGGAGGAAGGCGGUGAGGUUAAUAACCUCGCCGAUUGACGUUACCCGCAGAAGAAGCACCGGCUAACUCCGUGCCAGCCGCCGCCGUAA
Molecule: ribosomal RNA, 504 nt
Filed under: uncultured bacterium
Lineage: Bacteria
Description: partial 16S ribosomal RNA
Rfam family: Bacterial small subunit ribosomal RNA
Source: RNAcentral